GACAGGAAAUCAAUCUUGAACAAAAAUUAUCGUGACAAAUAGAUUAUCAAUUGUAUUUUUUUACACUCAUAAAGAAGGAAAUAAAUACAAAGAGAGCAAUUAGAGAGACUUUGUCUCCCUUGCUUAUGUUCUCAGUUUUCACACUCUAAUAGAAUGGUGUGGCAAUCAUUGUCAAAUAAUUGAACUGAAAGAAACAAAGAGAUUAAAAAAUGAAAAUAAAUCUUUCUGGUAAAACUAUCUCUGCUACGGUUGCUGUAGCUUUCGAAGAUGCUCCAACAAUGAAGUGGCCUUCCGCUUGGCCCUUUCUGUUCCGCUUUUAGCAAGCUCCAUCAAAGGUAUGAUAGCACCAAGCCUACUUAUACAGGCAAGAUUCUCAGGAUCUCUCUUGCACAAGGAAAGCAAAAUGGCUGCCGCAUUCUCUUUGUUGCGGGGCUGACCUGUUCUCAACAGAUCAAUGAGAACAGGUAUAGUGCUAGCCUUAACUAUAGCAACCUUAGCAUCUUGGUUGCUAGCUAAAACAGAAAGAAUGGUCAGAGCCUCAUCAGCCAUGAAAUUUCUUGAAUCUGUAAGCAUCUUUAAUAAUGCUGGAAUAAUUCCAGCCCUCACGGCCCUGCCCUUGUUCCCUUGAUAAAUGCACAGAUUAAACAAGGCUGUUGCAGCAUCUUUCUUCCCUCUAGGGCUUCCAUUUUCAAGCAAUUCUACCAAAGCAGGGAUAGCCCCUGAUGCACCAAUUAUUAUUUUGUUCUCAUCCCCAAGUGACAAGCUAAAAAUUGUAGCUGCUGCAUUCUCUCUUGCUUCAACACUUCCAGCUCUGAGAAUUUGGACAAUUGAAGGAAUAGCACCAGCAAGCAUUAUUAGUCCCUUGUUAUUUUCAUAUAUGGACAGGUUAAGAAUGGCAGUAACCGCAUUUUCUUGUAUUGACACAUCUUCAGUAGUUAAAAGGUUCACCAGAACAGGAAUAGCUCCAGCUUCUGCUAUUAGUAUCCUGUUAUCUGUGCUUCUUUUGGAUAGUGACCUGAUCUCAGAUACAGCAGCUCUGCGUUCCUCAACAGAUCUGCUUGAGAGUUUGCGAACAAGUGCCUGGAUGGCUGCUAUAUCACCACUUACAUCACGAAAAGAUCCAUCGCUCUUUUUUAUCCUCCCAUUUGCUACCCCUGUUGGCUGCUCAAUGUUGUGCUUUGCACACCACUGAGUUAUUAGACUUCUCAAAACAUAAUUGGGAGUCAGCGUCAAAUGUUCAAGAUUCUGCUGGGUUUUUGGACAUGUUGCAUUCCCAGUGUCAAUCCAUCUUUGAAUAUAAGACCUCUCAUAAGUCUGUCCUGUGGCCACAAUAACAGGAUCCCUCAUUAGUUCCAAGGAUAUAGGGCACAGAAAAUCAUCAGGGAUUGUGGGUGCAUCAGGCUUUUUUAAGUCUUCCAUAUUCUUGAUAGCCAAAUUACUUUUCUUGCUGCCAUCAUCUUCAUUUGAUUCACUCAUGAUGUGAUCUGCAGCAUGGCUUUUUGAUCCACGACUUCCUGAAACAGUGUCCAGCGUUUCUGUAACUACAUGGUUGAUACUAGCACUUUUCUCAUUAACUCCACAUCUGGUUAACCUGUUCCCCUUCUGUACUUGGUCAACUUCUUUGUCCAUUGACUCAGCUAAUGCAAAAGAAAUCAUUCGUGAAUUCAUUGACCCAUAUCUUUCUGUGGCUCUUUGCAACUGUGAUCUCACCAAUGCAACCUGUUCAUAUACUUCCUCUGAGAUGUCAAACUGAUCAAAUGGUAUGUUAGCCAAAGCCUUUUCUAGUUUCCAUGUCACGCAUUGGAAUUGGAAGGCAAUUUUCUUGGUGGCUCCAUCCUUAAAUCAAUAGAUAGCAAAAUUCAGAGAGGUACCUAUACAUUUUUAAGAGAAUGUGCAUAACCACAACAUAAUUUCAGUUAUAGAAUGAAACCUAGACCCAAACAAGAAAACUUUCCUCUCCAAAUGAUCAUCAUCAACAAAUGGAAUAGGAUUUGUUGUCCAAAACGCAGUGAUACCAAUAUAAAUCAGAAGAUCUUAUGACCAAAUAAUGAUAGGUAAUGCUUAAAAAAAAAACCCGAUCCAGUCAUUUGAUUGUAAAAGCAGUUUGAUAUCCCCCUCCCUUCAACAAUUGACAUUUAACAAUAUCAAUUAGUAUUCUUUGAUUCAGUGAGCUAGAUACAAAUAGAUCAAAAGAUUAAAAAAAAAUGAAGGUACAAAUAAUGCUUGCAUAACAGGAUAAUUUUACAAAACAAUAACAAUAAACAGAAAAAUGUGCAUUGAAGCUAUUACCUGAGAGUAAACUGCUGGAAAACCCAAACAAAAGUACAUUUCAAGUUAAGCGACAACUAGAAAUAUUUCAACUAAAGCGACUCCUAAAACACUAAAUUAUAAUUUCAUAAGCAGCUAAAUUUCAAGAACUAAUUUUACUCAAAUUCCACUAUAAAUUUACGCAAAUGCCACAUUCUUUUGCGGUUGCUAAGCUAAACUUACAGAAUUAUUGGUUAGUGAGAAAGCGGAAGCAACCGACAGGAGACGCUUAGCAGCCUGGAGAGCCCCCACUAGAUCGGAGUACCAAUUCCCAGAAGACGAAGAAGAAGAAUUAGAAGCAUCUAAGGGUCCAGAUUCGCCCUUGUAGUCCACAAUCUCCUCGAGGAAGUACUUGAGCAGAGAUAUCCUCCGCAGCAGAUCCGUGCAAUCCUUUCUAAACACCAAAUCACGGUCGUUGGUAGUAGUCCCACAGGCAUUUCCAGGGGACAUUCCGACAAUCUCCCCGACGAGAUUGAGGAGAAAUGCGGCAGGAGCAAGGUGACCUCGACCGGCACGGCCUUCCAUCGGGAUGUGGAGGGCCGGCGAUGACGAUGGUGACGGUGGUUGAUAUGGAGCAAUGUGUGUUCCUCCAGAGCCAGAGCCUGAGAGUCUCCCUCUCUCUCUCUCUCUCCGGUUAGUGUAAUGGUGAUACUUGGGGCGUUUUAACCCUCCUUAGAUGGGUGACAUGUCCGAAGCGAGUAAAUUGGAUUUUGAUAAUUUUAUUUCCCACAGAGAGAGAGAGAGAGA
RNAcentral lists this unclassified non-coding RNA (3054 nucleotides) under Hevea brasiliensis (rubber tree). Lineage: Eukaryota; Viridiplantae; Streptophyta; Magnoliopsida; Malpighiales; Euphorbiaceae. The record is from RNAcentral.